Gambusia affinis (western mosquitofish) is the source of this 797-nucleotide long non-coding RNA. RefSeq lists it as uncharacterized. NCBI's taxonomy places the organism in Eukaryota, Metazoa, Chordata, Actinopteri, Cyprinodontiformes, Poeciliidae. The transcript has 2 exons. The record is from RefSeq and is a predicted model, not a curated record.
UCUCAGAAACCAGAAUUCUGACUGAUGGGCGCCAACAAGCAAACAGCUUCAGAAGACGCGAGUUGUGACGGUCGGACAGCUAACGUUCUGAAGAAAAUGAGUUAUUUAAGUGAAUUUUUACGUGCAAGAGGAGUACCCGAAGCUGCGAUAGCAGUAAUGGAAGAACAAAAGAUUGACUCUGAUGUCAUAGCAACACUGGAAAAUUAUGGAGAUGGAAUUGCUGUUUUCAACUUCUGCUAAAGCAAAAAACUGUCCAAAAAAGGCCUUCUGCUGAAACGGUUCCCUUCUUAAAGUGAAAGAAGCUACAAAAUGUCAGAUUUGGAUGAUAUCAUUAGGCUUUACUUCAGACUGUCUUUAAGUAACAAAGAAAUCCUCCAUAUUUUAGCGCACAGUCAUCAUACUAUAUUAAGUAACCGAACUCUUAAAAGAAUUUGCAGAAGACUUGGGCUGUUUAGAAGAAAGAAUCAGUCCGACCUUGAAGAAGUGCUGGCCUUUGUCCAACAACAAAUAAUGACUAAUGGACAAAUGCAAGGUUAUCGGUGGCUACAUCUUCGUGCAGUUCAACAUGGAUUUGUGGUGUCACAAGACACUGUGAGACAUUUAAUCAAAUUGUUUGACCCAGAAGGUGUGGAACUGAGACGAGCACGACGGUUGAGAAGACGUCAGUACAAUUGCAGAGGACCAAAUGCACUCUGGCACAUGGAUGGUUACGAUAAACUAAAACCUUAUGGCAUUGCUAUCAGUGGCUGUAUAGAUGGUUUUAGCCGACAUGUUUUAUGGAUGGAGGCUUAUACCAC